RNAcentral lists this transfer RNA (75 nucleotides) under Planctomycetota bacterium. Its description in RNAcentral is "tRNA-Gln". It matches the Rfam family "tRNA". From Rfam's summary of the family: Transfer RNA (tRNA) molecules are approximately 80 nucleotides in length. Their secondary structure includes four short double-helical elements and three loops (D, anti-codon, and T loops). The record is from RNAcentral. Lineage: Bacteria; Pseudomonadati; Planctomycetota.
UACCCGGUGGUGUAAUCGGUAGCACGAGAGACUUUGAAUCUCUCUGUCCAGGUUCGAGUCCUGGCCGGGUAGCCA